UGGGGAAUAUUGGACAAUGGGGGGAACCCUGAUCCAGCCAUGCCGCGUGUGUGAAGAAGGCCUUAUGGUUGUAAAGCACUUUAAGCGAGGAGGAGGGUACUGGUAUUAAUACUACCAGGUACUGGACGUUACUCGCAGAAUAAGCACCGGCUAACUCUGUGCCAGCAGCCGCGGUAAUACAGAGGGUGCAAGCGUUAAUCGGAAUUACUGCGCGUAAAGCGCGCGUAGGUGGUUCGUUAAGUUGAAUGUGAAAGCCCCGGGCUCAACCUGGGAACUGCAUCCAAAACUGGCGAGCUAGAGUAGGGCAGAGGGUGGUGGAAUUUCCUGUGUAGCGGUGAAAUGCGUAGAUAUAGGAAGGAACACCAGUGGCGAAGGCGACCACCUGGGCUCAUACUGACACUGAGGUGCGAAAGCGUGGGGAGCAAACAGG
RNAcentral lists this ribosomal RNA (430 nucleotides) under Pseudomonadota bacterium. RNAcentral's name for it is "Proteobacteria bacterium partial 16S ribosomal RNA". It matches the Rfam family "Bacterial small subunit ribosomal RNA", at positions 355 to 776 of the family's 1533-position model. The record is from RNAcentral. Lineage: Bacteria; Pseudomonadati; Pseudomonadota.